RNAcentral lists this ribosomal RNA (1650 nucleotides) under Triticum aestivum (bread wheat). RNAcentral's name for it is "partial small subunit ribosomal RNA". The record is from RNAcentral. Lineage: Eukaryota; Viridiplantae; Streptophyta; Magnoliopsida; Poales; Poaceae.
AUGGGCAACUGCUGCCGCUCCCCGGCGGCCGCGGCGCGGGAGGACGUCUCGUCGUCGCACUUCCCCGCCUCCGCCGGGAAGAAGAAGCCCCACCAGGCGCGCAACGGCGGCGGCGCGGGGGGAGGCGGAGGCGGGGCCGGCGCCGGCGCCGGCGGGGAGAAGAAGCGCCUCUCGGUGCUCGGGGAGGAGGGCCGCGACGUGAGCGGCGGGAUCGACGACAAGUACGCGCUGGACCGGGAGCUGGGGCGGGGCGAGUUCGGGGUCACGUACCUGUGCAUGGACCGGGGAUCCAAGGAGCUGCUCGCCUGCAAGUCCAUCUCCAAGCGCAAGCUGCGCACCCCCGUCGACGUGGAGGACGUGCGCCGGGAGGUGGCCAUCAUGCGCCACCUGCCCCGGAGCGCCAGCAUCGUCACGCUGCGGGAGGCCUGCGAGGACGAGGGCGCCGUGCACCUCGUCAUGGAGCUCUGCGAGGGCGGGGAGCUCUUCGACCGCAUCGUCGCGCGGGGCCACUACACGGAGCGCGCCGCCGCCGCCGUCACGCGCACCAUCGUCGAGGUCGUGCAGCUCUGCCACCACCACGGCGUCAUCCACCGCGACCUCAAGCCCGAGAACUUCCUCUUCGCCAACAAGAAGGAGAACUCCCCGCUCAAGGCCAUCGACUUCGGCCUCUCCAUCUUCUUCAAGCCCGGUGAGAAGUUCUCUGAAAUUGUGGGAAGUCCCUACUAUAUGGCUCCUGAAGUGCUGAAGAGAAACUAUGGACCUGAAAUAGACAUUUGGAGUGCUGGCGUUAUCUUGUAUAUAUUGUUAUGCGGUGUUCCUCCAUUUUGGGCUGAGACUGAACAAGGAGUUGCACAAGCUAUCCUUCGGGGAAAUAUAGAUUUUAAGAGAGAACCCUGGCCCCAUGUUUCUGAUAAUGCUAAAGAUCUAGUUCGGCAGAUGCUUCAGCCUGACCCGAAAAUCAGGCUAACGGCAAAGCAAGUUCUUGAGCAUACAUGGCUUCAAAAUGCCAAGAAAGCUCCAAAUGUUCCUCUUGGAGACAUUGUGAAGUCAAGGCUGAAGCAGUUUUCAAGGAUGAACAGAUUCAAAAGAAGAGCUUUAAGGGUUAUUGCUGACCACUUGUCGGCUGAAGAAGUUGAGGACAUAAAGGAGAUGUUCAAAGUGAUGGAUACUGAUAAUGACGGUAUAGUCUCAUAUGAAGAGUUGAAGAGCGGGAUCGCAAAAUUUGGUUCUCACCUUGCAGAAUCUGAAGUGCAAAUGUUAAUAGAAGCUGUGGAUACAAAUGGUAGAGGAGCACUAGAUUAUGGUGAAUUUUUGGCUGUCUCACUUCAUCUACAAAGGAUGGCAAAUGAUGAGCACCUUCGGCGGGCCUUCCUGUUUUUCGAUAAGGACGGCGACGGUUUUAUCGAGCCUGAGGAGCUUCAGGAGGCCCUGGCGGAGGAUGGGGCGGUUGAUAUUACUGAAGUGGUGAAGGACAUAUUGCAAGAAGUUGACACCGACAAGGAUGGCAAAAUUAGCUUCGAAGAGUUUGUAGCAAUGAUGAAAACUGGCACAGACUGGCGAAAGGCUUCGCGGCAUUAUUCGAGAGGACGUUUCAAUAGCCUAAGCAUAAGGCUUAUCAAGGAUGGAUCUGUAAAGAUGGGAAACGAGUGA